Molecule: ribosomal RNA, 237 nt
Filed under: Triticum aestivum (bread wheat)
Lineage: Eukaryota; Viridiplantae; Streptophyta; Magnoliopsida; Poales; Poaceae
Description: partial small subunit ribosomal RNA
Source: RNAcentral
AUGCGCUCCGCCUCCGCCAUCGUGUGCAAGGAAGUGAGCGGUUCCCACGUACUCAGGAUCCACGGCUACUCGCGCCUGAAGCACAUGAUGCACGGGAAGUACGUCCGCUCCUGCGACUUCCACGCCGGCGGCCACAUCUGGCGUCUCCUGUAUUACCCCAACGGCAGCCAGCCCCAGUUCCAAGAUCACAUCGCCGCGUACCUCCAGCUAGCAUCCAGAGAUCCCAGCGACGAGUAG